GAAAACGAGAGGAGAAAAAGGCGGGGCCUGGAAGAGCCAAUAAAGGGCUGGGGAGGGGCCUGAAGGAACCAAUGAGAGGCAAGGAAUGAGGAAGGGGCGGGGCGAAAAAGAGGCGAGGACAAAACCAGCGGGAGGGGCGGGGCUUGUAAAGGACACGCGGCAGGAAGCGGCGGUGACGUCACCAAGUAGACCCAGCCGACGUUGCUAUGACGUCAGGGGCCACAAGCAGUUACGUCAUAUGCCCCAGUCACACCCCCCCCCAGCCCCAAUGACGACAUAAGGCUGAUUGGGACUCUGCAGUUUAUUGAUCACUGAGGGUCCCUAUCGCGAUAGGGGGGUCCCGUCGUGAUAAUGGGGAUUCACAGCAAUCCAAUGCCCCCUCAUGGGCCUGGGUCCUUGGCACAGGAGCCCUGUCACGAUACAGGAGCACUGUCACAAUAUGGGGGUCCCGUCUCGAUCCUCCUCUUCAGAGCAAUCUAGGGUCCUGUCAGGAUACAAAGCCCUUGCAGAAUGUGGGUUCUUAUCACGAUAAACAAUCCCUGUUGUGAUAUGGGGCACCCCCUGUCCUGGUACUGUGGGGCUCUGGGAAAAUGAGGAGCAGGGGGUCCCUGUCGCAAUAAGGAGUCCCUGUCACGAUAUGAGGGGCCCUGUUACAAAGAGGUGUCCCUGUCAUGACUUGGGAUCACCCCCCCCCUUUACCAUGGGUCACCCAAAGCCAUGUGAAUAAAUUGAGGGGGGUUUCCCAUCAUGAUAAUGGCUCCUUAUCGCAAUAUGGGGGCUCCUGUCGUGAUAUGAGGGGGUCUCUGUCGCGAUAGGGCCCCAGGCCAGCAGCAGUGGCGCCGCGGGGGGUCGAACCCCGCCCCGGGGGGUCCCGGGGGUGCCACCACCGGCGCCUUUUGCUUUUUUUUCGGCCUUUUUGGGUCCAGAGGAGAAAAAGCAAAACCUGAGAAAACCAAGGAAAAGUUUUCUCAGGAAAAGAAAAAACCUCCCGAAACGGGAAAAAUAAAACACAAAAAAAACCUCCCCAAAACAAGUCUGGCCCCACCCCACGCGAUUUGGGGCAAAAUGUGGGGAAUUUGGGGCCAGAGCACACCCAAAAAUGGGUGGUUUGGGGGGUUUGGGGCCCAGCAGGUGCCCCCGGCGCAAUUUGGGCGGAGAAAUGGGGAUUUUGGGUUGGAGUCACGGCCCAGACGCAAAACAGACUCAGAAACGGGGAUUUGGGGUCACAGGCGCGUCCCGGUCGCAAAAUCGGGCCAGAAAUGGGAAAUUAGGGCGCAAAAUGGGCUCAGAAACGGGGAUUUGGGGCCGAUCGCGCACCCCCGGCGCAGAAUUAGCUCCGGAACGGGGAUUUUGGGGUUAAUCACGCGCCCCCUCGCAUCCUGGGCCGAGAACGGGGGAUUUUGGGGUCGGCGCGUCCCGGGGCCCCGCCGGUACUUACUCUGCUGGCUCACCUUUUCCUGCCUCUUUAUUUUGGGGGGAAUUUCUAGUUUUUAA
This 1494-nucleotide long non-coding RNA is filed under the name Junco hyemalis (dark-eyed junco). RNAcentral's name for it is "lncRNA (ENSJHYG00000016011.1)". The record is from RNAcentral. Lineage: Eukaryota; Metazoa; Chordata; Aves; Passeriformes; Passerellidae.